Molecule: long non-coding RNA, 449 nt
Filed under: Homo sapiens (human)
Lineage: Eukaryota; Metazoa; Chordata; Mammalia; Primates; Hominidae
Description: non-protein coding lnc-BBC3-1:1
Source: RNAcentral
CUCUCGUGCCGAACCAGGGCGGGAAGUCCUUCCUGAAGUCUGCCCUGCGUGGGGCCUGCUGCCAGAAGCCUGGGCCGGAGGGGAGGGGCGAGGACGAAGUAGCGAACCGUCCGCUGGCUGUCUUAGAAGGAUGAAAAGUGAAUUCUGAGCCUGGCUGUGGGAGCUGCGAAAUCUGCUUGCCCAGAAUGGCAGACAAGAUCUUGGAGACGAGACGGUUUUAGGUCUGCAGUCAACCAGCUCUAUUUUGUCUCACCAGCACUUCACAUCCGGCUUACUACCUCCGGGCACUAUUCUAAGUAUGUUACAAAUACGAACUCAUUUUAUCUUCACAAUAUUUUUGGUCCUGCCUGUGCAGAUCCCUUUUGGACAGUGAGGGAAACUGAGGCACAGAGCGGAGAAGCUGCUUGCUCAAGGUCAUCAUUUGAACCCAUGUCGGAGUUAUCGUUCCU